This 783-nucleotide ribosomal RNA is filed under the name Platychile pallida. RNAcentral describes it as "partial 16S ribosomal RNA". The stretch from base 1 to 575 matches the Rfam family "Bacterial large subunit ribosomal RNA", at positions 1845 to 2925 of the family's 2925-position model. The record is from RNAcentral. Lineage: Eukaryota; Metazoa; Arthropoda; Insecta; Coleoptera; Carabidae.
UUAAGGUCUAGCCUGCCCAGUGAUUAUUUAAAUGGCCGCAGUAAUUUGACUGUGCAAAGGUAGCGUAAUCAUUAGUUUUUUAAUUGAAAGCUUGUAUGAAAGGUUGGACGAGGUGAAUACUGUCUUUAUGUAAUUUAAAAUAGAAUUUAACUUUUAAGUGAAAAGGCUUAAAUAGUUUUAAAAGACGAGAAGACCCUAUAGAUCUUUAUAUUUUUAUUAAAUAAUUUAAUAAGGAUUUAUUUUGAUUUAUUUAAUAUAAAAUAUUUUAUUGGGGUAAUAUAAAAAUUAGUAAAAUUUUUUGAAUUUAAUAACAUUAAUUUAUGAAUUUAUGAUCCAAUAAUAUUGAUUAGAAGUUUAAGUUACCUUAGGGAUAACAGCGUAAUUUUUUUAGAGAGUUCAUAUCGAUAAAAAAGUUUGCGACCUCGAUGUUGGAUUAAAAGUAAUGUUAGGUGCAGAAGCUUAAUAUAUUGGUCUGUUCGACCAUUAAAUUUUUACAUGAUCUGAGUUCAGACCGGCGUGAGCCAGGUCGGUUUCUAUCUUUAAUAGUUUAAUAUAUUUUAGUACGAGAGGACCAAAUAUAUGAUAUAUUUAUAUUUAUUAGUUUGAAUAUUAUUAAUUACUUUGGCAGAAUAGUGCAUUGAAUUUAGAUUUCAAGAAUGUAAUUAUAUUACAGGUAAUAUUGUUUAUUGGGGAUAGAAUUUUUAUAUUAGUUAGAAUGUUAUUAUUAAUUAUUUGUGUUUUAAUUGGAGUAGCUUUUUUAACAUUGUUGGAACGUAAAGUAUU